Labeo rohita (rohu) is the source of this 854-nucleotide long non-coding RNA. RefSeq lists it as uncharacterized. NCBI's taxonomy places the organism in Eukaryota, Metazoa, Chordata, Actinopteri, Cypriniformes, Cyprinidae. The transcript has 3 exons. The record is from RefSeq and is a predicted model, not a curated record.
UGUCUGAGGCCUACAGUACUUAAUUAGCGUUUUGGUCUAAUACGUUUCUGACAUACAAAUAUAAUUUAAUAGUCGGAUAAAUAUUGAAAUAAGAAGAUGGAAUUACCAAAAAUGACGCUUUCUUCGGCUUCGUUGUGGAAAGAUGGCGAAGUGAAGUGUACACAGUGUGGUUUCUGCGGAUGGCCCGCGUGUCUUCAGCAGCGGCAGAAUCCUCAGAGGAACUGGCCUGACUCAUCUGCGUCUGUGACAGAGCCCUAGUGGCCGGAUGAUCCUUCAGUUCUGGCUCAGAAGUGACAAGGUGGAGGAAUGCCUGAUUGUGGUGUGAUCUGAUGGCCGGUGGCUUGUGUGUGAAAGGGUCUUAGCCGCAGAAACGCAAAACCUCCCCCUCCACCUCAGCUUGUCCUCUCUCCUCAGGGAACGAAUGGACCGUCUUGCGCUUACCAUUCCUAUGAAGAAAUGAAUAAAAUAGAAAUGAGACAUUCAAGUGACAGCCCCAGCUUUAAAUGAUGCUGGCAAAAGCCAUGAAUUGUCAGUGGGUCUCUCUGGCUGCUUUGUUGAUGAAAUGAAAAAUGUAUUGUCAGGAAGAGAGGAUGAUUUUUUUCUUUCUUUUUCGAGAAUAAUAUGGCGUGAUGAGUGGCCGUCUUCAAUGUUGGGAAUGUGUUGCACAUAGGGCUGAGGCAUAAACAAUAUCAUAUCACUAAAAUUUAUUUUGGUAACGAUGAUAAGGUCUGGAUAUUAUUAUUCAGUACAGAUAAGCUAAUAUUUCUGCAUGUUUGGCAUGUCACUAUGUGAAUGAGUGGUGUAGUUUCGUCUUCUACACAAACUUAAGCACGUGACGCUUCACUGUCUUUAUA